GACGAACGCUGGCGGCGUGCCUAAUACAUGCAAGUUGAGCGAUGAAGCUUGGUGCUUGCACCAAUUUGCAGAGCAGCGAACGGGUGAGUAACGCGUGGGGAAUCUGCCUUUGAGCGGGGGACAACAUUUGGAAACGAAUGCUAAUACCGCAUAACAACUUUAAACAUAAGUUUUAAGUUUGAAAGAUGCAAUUGCAUCACUCAAAGAUGAUCCCGCGUUGUAUUAGCUAGUUGGUGAGGUAAAGGCUCACCAAGGCGAUGAUACAUAGCCGACCUGAGAGGGUGAUCGGCCACAUUGGGACUGAGACACGGCCCAAACUCCUACGGGAGGCAGCAGUAGGGAAUCUUCGGCAAUGGACGAAAGUCUGACCGAGCAACGCCGCGUGAGUGAAGAAGGUUUUCGGAUCGUAAAACUCUGUUGGUAGAGAAGAACGUUGGUGAGAGUGGAAAGCUCAUCAAGUGACGGUAACUACCCAGAAAGGGACGGCUAACUACGUG
Molecule: ribosomal RNA, 497 nt
Filed under: uncultured bacterium
Lineage: Bacteria
Description: partial 16S ribosomal RNA
Rfam family: Bacterial small subunit ribosomal RNA
Source: RNAcentral